CCUACGGGUGGCAGCAGUGGGGAAUAUUGCACAAUGGGCGCAAGCCUGAUGCAGCCAUGCCGCGUGUGUGAAGAAGGCCUUCGGGUUGUAAAGCACUUUCAGCGGGGAGGAAGGCGGUGAGGUUAAUAACCUCAUCGAUUGACGUUACCCGCAGAAGAAGCACCGGCUAACUCCGUGCCAGCAGCCGCGGUAAUACGGAGGGUGCAAGCGUUAAUCGGAAUUACUGGGCGUAAAGCGCACGCAGGCGGUCUGUCAAGUCGGAUGUGAAAUCCCCGGGCUCAACCUGGGAACUGCAUUCGAAACUGGCAGGCUAGAGUCUUGUAGAGGGGGGUAGAAUUCCAGGUGUAGCGGUGAAAUGCGUAGAGAUCUGGAGGAAUACCGGUGGCGAAGGCGGCCCCCUGGACAAAGACUGACGCUCAGGUGCGAAAGCGUGGGGAGUAAACAGGAUUAGAUACCCGGGUAGUC
Molecule: ribosomal RNA, 465 nt
Filed under: uncultured Klebsiella sp.
Lineage: Bacteria; Pseudomonadati; Pseudomonadota; Gammaproteobacteria; Enterobacterales; Enterobacteriaceae
Description: bacterial SSU rRNA
Rfam family: Bacterial small subunit ribosomal RNA
Source: RNAcentral